GGGGAGGGGGAGCCUCCUAAUACAUGCAAGUCGCGCGGACUUCUUCGGAAGUCAGCGGCGGACGGGUGAGUAACACGUGGGCAAUCUGUUCUUUAAACUGGAAUAACGCCUGGAAACGGGUGCUAAUGCCAGAUAGAGCAACGGAACAGGCAUCUGUUUGUUGGGAGAGGUGCUACGGCAUCGCUAAGAGAGGAGCCCGCGGCGCAUUAGCUAGUUGGUGGGGUAACGGCCUACCAAGGCGACGAUGCGUAGCCGACCUGAGAGGGUGACCGGCCACGCUGGGACUGAGACACGGCCCACACUCCUACGGGAGGCAGCUUAGUAGGGAAAAAUCUUUUCUCGCGCACAAAUGGGCGCCAAAGCCUUGACCGAAGACACAACCCCCGCGUUUGUGUAGACACAAAAAAAAGCCCUUUCGGGGUGUUAAAAACUCCAUUUCACUUUCUCGGGAAGAGGAGACCCCAGGGGAGGGGAAAACCCCUUGGAGAGGAACGGUAUCCCGGGAGAGGAAAGGACCCCGGCUAAAUACUGUGCCAGCAGCCGCCGGUAAUAAUGUAGGGGGCAAAAGUUGUCUCGGAAUCACUGGGCGUAAAGAGUGCGUAGGCGGUUUGUUAAGUCUGAAGUGAAAAAGCCACGGCUCAACCAUGGGAAUGCUUUGGAAAAUGGCAGACUUGAGUACUGGAGAGGCAAGGGGAAUUCCACGUGUAGCGGUGAAAUGCGUAGAGAUGUGGAGGAAUACCAGUGGCGAAGGCGCCUUGCUGGACACUGACUGACGCUGAGGCACGAAAGCGUGGGGAACAAACUAGAGUUAGAUACCCUGGGAAGUGCCACGCCCGUAAAAGAUUGAGUGCUAGUGUGUUGGAACGCUCACACAUUUCACCUGCCAAAAAAAAACCAAAUAAGCACUCGCGCCGUGGAGAAAGUACGGUCCCAAGACUCGAAACCUCAAAUGGUUAACUUGAUCGCGGGCGCCCUGCACAAAGCACUUGGAGGCAUGUGGUGUUAAUCUCACCUCCGGACAACAACGAAAAAAAGAAAACUCUUGAGCCAGUGUGCUUUGACUAUUCCCGCCCCAGGACCGGUGAAGAAAAAAAAAUUACACCUGUUCCCCCCUCCCCUCUGGGGCAGAGGAGACAGGUGGUGCAUGGUUGUCGUCAGCUCGUGUCGUGAGAUGUUGGGUUAAGUCCCGCAACGAGCGCAAACCCUGACCUGUGUUUCCAGCACGUAAUGGGGGGGACUCACAGGUGACUGCCGGGGUAAGUCGGAGGAAAGUGGGGAUGACGUCAAAUCAUCUUGCCCCUUAUGUCCUGGGCAACACACGUGCUACAAAGGGGGGAACAACGGGAAACGAGACCCCGAGGUGGAGCGAACCCCUGAAAACCGUUUGUAGUUUGGAUUGCCGGCUGCAACCCGCCUGCAUGAAGCCGGAAUUGCUAGUAAUCGCGGAUCAGCAUGCCGCGGUGAAUCCGUUUCCCGGGCCUUGUUCCCACCGCCCGUCACACCCCGAGAGUUGGCAACCCCCGAAGUUCGGUGGAGUAACCUUAUAGGCCAGCCGCCGAAGGUGUUUCGGG
This 1571-nucleotide ribosomal RNA is filed under the name Paenalicyclobacillus ferrooxydans. Its description in RNAcentral is "bacterial SSU rRNA". It matches the Rfam family "Bacterial small subunit ribosomal RNA". Lineage: Bacteria; Bacillati; Bacillota; Bacilli; Caryophanales; Alicyclobacillaceae. The record is from RNAcentral.